Molecule: long non-coding RNA, 1239 nt
Filed under: Cricetulus griseus (Chinese hamster)
Lineage: Eukaryota; Metazoa; Chordata; Mammalia; Rodentia; Cricetidae
Description: lncRNA (ENSCGRG00015035438.1)
Source: RNAcentral
UAUAUAUAUAUAUAUAUAUAUAUAUAUAUAUGCACACAUAGAUCAUCCGCCCGCUGUACGUGACCCUGUGGUUCAUCGGCCUCUGACGUCAGGACGUCAUCCAUCGCGUCAUCCGUCAGUGAGUGACGUCAUCAUCAAAACAUCACCGUAUAUGUACACACAUAGAUCAUCCGCCCCCUGGUCCUGUACGUGAUCCUGUUAUACAUUUGCCGCGACGUCGACUGUGACCACCGGCUGUGAGGUCAGCGCGCGAGGGUGACGUCAUUAUCCGUGUCGUCAUCAUCAGUGAGUGACGUCGUCAUACAUAAAUAUGCAUAGAUACAGAUCAUCCGCCUGCUGUAUGUGACCCUGUGGUUCAUCUGACUCAACGUCGACUGUGAGACGUCGACUGCGACCCCGGCCUCUGACGUCAUGACGUCAGCCACCGCGUCAUCCUCAGUGAGUGACGUCAUCCGUCAGUGACGUCAUCGUCACAUCAAUAUAGAUAUAGAUCAUCCGCCCACUGACCCUGUGGUUCAUCUACUGUGACCUGCACUGCUCUGUCGUCAUGACGUAACACGCUACGUCAUCUCACGUCAUCAUCAGACUCAGAUCUACCGCGACCUGUCAUUUGACGUCAGUGGGACACGGCUGCCGCAUCCCAGUGACGUCAUCAGUAACGUCGCUCAUCUGCUGUGACGCUGACUGACACCGCAACCUGUGACACCAUCACGGACGAGGGCAGCGAGGGCGUCUGUGACGUCAGAGAGUGACAGUCCAGGUCGGUGUCCCGCAGAGAGUGUGACGUCAGACAACAGUCCCGCCCCGCCGUGGGGUCUCCGACACACACGUGGGAGGUCAGAGUGACCCCAGGGUGACGUCAGCGCAGAGCGACCACCGAGUGACCCCAGAGUGACUUCAGCACAGAGUGAUCCCAGAGUGACGUCAGCACAGAGUGACCCCAGAGUGACGUCAGGGAAGAGCGACCCCAUAGUGACCCCAGAGUGACGUCAGCGAUACCCCGUACCGACCGGGAGCCCAGGACCUGACGUGCAGGUGACAUCAUCGCGACCCUGAGAUGGCAGCGGGAGACCCCGUGUGACCCCCGUGUGACAUCACCGAGACCCCAGCGACGUCAGCACUAAUCCCGGAGCCCAGCCCGCUGACGCCACGCCCCCCACAGGGCCGCCAUGCAUCCCCCAGGCCGCCACCGGCCCACCCCCGCCGGGUUCCCGCCCCGACCGACAGGAGCCCCGCCCC